RNAcentral lists this ribosomal RNA (1150 nucleotides) under uncultured bacterium. RNAcentral's name for it is "bacterial SSU rRNA". It matches the Rfam family "Bacterial small subunit ribosomal RNA", at positions 41 to 1182 of the family's 1533-position model. The record is from RNAcentral.
UACAGGCUUAACACAUGCAAGUCGAGGGGAAACGAUAUUGGAAGCUUGCUUCCGAUAGGCGUCGACCGGCGCACGGGUGAGUAACGCGUAUCCAACCUGCCCAUCACUUGGGGAUAACCUUGCGAAAGUAAGACUAAUACCCAAUGACGUCUCUAGAAGACAUCUGAAAGAGAUUAAAGAUUCAUCGGUGAUGGAUGGGGAUGCGUCUGAUUAGCUUGUUGGCGGGGUAACGGCCCACCAAGGCAACGAUCAGUAGGGGUUCUGAGAGGAAGGUCCCCCACAUUGGAACUGAGACACGGUCCAAACUCCUACGGGAGGCAGCAGUGAGGAAUAUUGGUCAAUGGACGAGAGUCUGAACCAGCCAAGUAGCGUGCAGGAAGACGGCCCUAUGGGUUGUAAACUGCUUUUAUAAGGGAAUAAAGUUAGUCUCGUGAGACUUUUUGCAUGUACCUUAUGAAUAAGGACCGGCUAAUUCCGUGCCAGCAGCCGCGGUAAUACGGAAGGUCCGGGCGUUAUCCGGAUUUAUUGGGUUUAAAGGGAGCGUAGGCCGGAGAUUAAGCGUGUUGUGAAAUGUAGACGCUCAACGUCUGCACUGCAGCGCGAACUGGUUUCCUUGAGUACGCACAAAGUGGGCGGAAUUCGUGGUGUAGCGGUGAAAUGCUUAGAUAUCACGAAGAACUCCGAUUGCGAAGGCAGCUCACUGGAGCGCAACUGACGCUGAAGCUCGAAAGUGCGGGUAUCGAACAGGAUUAGAUACCCUGGUAGUCCGCACGGUAAACGAUGGAUGCCCGCUGUUGGUCUGAAUAGGUCAGCGGCCAAGCGAAAGCAUUAAGCAUCCCACCUGGGGAGUACGCCGGCAACGGUGAAACUCAAAGGAAUUGACGGGGGCCCGCACAAGCGGAGGAACAUGUGGUUUAAUUCGAUGAUACGCGAGGAACCUUACCCGGGCUUGAAUUGCAGAGGAAGGAUUUGGAGACAAUGACGCCCUUCGGGGCCUCUGUGAAGGUGCUGCAUGGUUGUCGUCAGCUCGUGCCGUGAGGUGUCGGCUUAAGUGCCAUAACGAGCGCAACCCCUCUCCUUAGUUGCCAUCAGGUCAAGCUGGGCACUCUGGGGACACUGCCACCGUAAGGUGUGAGGAAGGUGGGGAUGA